RNAcentral lists this ribosomal RNA (275 nucleotides) under uncultured bacterium. RNAcentral describes it as "partial 16S ribosomal RNA". It matches the Rfam family "Bacterial small subunit ribosomal RNA", at positions 338 to 605 of the family's 1533-position model. The record is from RNAcentral.
CCUACGGGGGGCUGCAGUGGGGAAUAUUGGACAAUGGGGGCAACCCUGAUCCAGCAAUGCCGCGUGUGUGAAGAAGGCCUGCGGGUUGUAAAGCACUUUCAGCAGGGAAGAAAAGCUCGGGGUUAAUACCCUCGGGUCUUGACGUUACCUGAAGAAGAAGCACCGGCUAACUCCGUGCCAGCAGCCGCGGUAAUACGGAGGGUGCGAGCGUUAAUCGGAAUUACUGGGCGUAAAGCGCACGUAGGCGGUCGGAUAAGUCGGAUGUGAAAGCCCUG